Molecule: transfer RNA, 71 nt
Filed under: Serratia marcescens
Lineage: Bacteria; Pseudomonadati; Pseudomonadota; Gammaproteobacteria; Enterobacterales; Yersiniaceae
Description: tRNA-Asn
Source: RNAcentral
CCCGGGGCAAUUUAGCGUUCGGCGGACUGUUAAUCCGUAUGUCACUGGUUCGAGUCCAGUCAGAGGAGCCA